UCCAACUUGAGAGUUUGAUCCUGGCUCAGAGCGAACGCUGGCGGCAGGCCUAACACAUGCAAGUCGAGCGCCGUAGCAA
Molecule: ribosomal RNA, 79 nt
Filed under: Alphaproteobacteria bacterium
Lineage: Bacteria; Pseudomonadati; Pseudomonadota; Alphaproteobacteria
Description: partial 16S ribosomal RNA
Rfam family: Bacterial small subunit ribosomal RNA
Source: RNAcentral